RNAcentral lists this unclassified non-coding RNA (329 nucleotides) under soil metagenome. RNAcentral's name for it is "partial contains 5.8S ribosomal RNA, internal transcribed spacer 2, and large subunit ribosomal RNA". The stretch from base 1 to 120 matches the Rfam family "5.8S ribosomal RNA", at positions 35 to 154 of the family's 154-position model. The record is from RNAcentral.
GAUGAAGAACGUAGCGAAAUGCGAUAAUUAAUGUGAAUUGCAGAAUUUAGUGAAUCAUCGAAUCUUUGAACGCACAUUGCGCCCCUUGGUAUUCCGGGGGGCAUGCCUGUUCGAGCGUCAUUUCAACCCUCAAGCUCUGCUUGGUCUUGGGCCGCGCCGGCAACGGCGGGCCUCCAAAACAGUGGCGGCGCCAUCUGGUCCCUCAGCGUAGUAAUUCUUCUCGCUGCUGGGCCCCGGUGGCCGCUUGCCAGCAACCCCAAACUUUCUAUGGUUGACCUCGGAUCAGGUAGGGAUACCCGCUGAACUUAAGCAUAUCAAUAAGCGGAGGA